GAUGAACGCUGGCGGCGUGCCUAAUACAUGCAAGUCGAGCGAACGGACGAGAAGCUUGCUUCUCUGAUGUUAGCGGCGGACGGGUGAGUAACACGUGGAUAACCUACCUAUAAGACUGGGAUAACUUCGGGAAACCGGAGCUAAUACCGGAUGAUAUUUUGAACCGCAUGGUUCAAAAGUGAAAGACGGUCUUGCUGUCACUUAUAGAUGGAUCCGCGCUGCAUUAGCUAGUUGGUAAGGUAACGGCUUACCAAGGCAACGAUGCAUAGCCGACCUGAGAGGGUGGACCGCCACACCUGAACCGGAGCACGGGCCAAGACCCCUACGGGAGGAAGAAGUGGGAAAUCUUCCGAAAUGGGCGAAGGCCUGCCGGAGAAACGCCGCGUGAGUGAUGAAGGCCUCCGGUUCGUAAACCCUUGUUAUAGGGAAGAACAUAUGUGUAAGUAACUGUGCACAUCUUGACGGUACCUAAUCAGAAAGCCACGGCUAACUACGUG
Molecule: ribosomal RNA, 497 nt
Filed under: uncultured bacterium
Lineage: Bacteria
Description: partial 16S ribosomal RNA
Rfam family: Bacterial small subunit ribosomal RNA
Source: RNAcentral